Non-coding RNA from Rattus norvegicus (Norway rat), 17417 nucleotides. Lineage: Eukaryota; Metazoa; Chordata; Mammalia; Rodentia; Muridae. The record is from RefSeq and is a predicted model, not a curated record.
GAACGAGCUGGCAUUGAGGCCCAGAUCUGAGUGCUAAGAUCCUGGGCACCUGGGUAGUACUGGGCAGGUGUGGCUGCAGAGAGCAGUGAUGUUAGAACCCAAGCCACUCUAAGGUGGCUUUGGCUUCUGUGGGCUUUUACCCAGGAGAUGGGGGUUUCGAGGUUGCCUUUCCCUCUGCCCACACCCUCCUACAUUGAUCCUGUUCCCCAGGAGCCUCAGCCAUCUCCCUACUUGUAUGACCCUGUUGUUUAUAAGUCGGGUAGGGACUGAGAUGACUGAACAUGGUCAGAUCCUGGGCCUGGAUCCUGGCAGCACAACUUCCCCACCCUAGGGACCUCUGGAUGGCUUUUUGUGCUGUUGAGCAUGGGUGGUGUCAGACUGACAGCAGCCCUAGGCCCCACCCCUGCAAUACCCUGUUUCCUAGCUGGUGUUUUGCAGUGUGUUGAGUGCCAUGGCAACAGCUGAUAUUCAGCUCCAUCUGACCCAGUUGGAACAGGUGCUCCAGGUGACUCCUGCGGCUGUUCCUUAGCCUUAUCUUCCAACACAGCCUCAGGAGCAGCAUCCAGGCUCCGAGUGCCCAGAUUGUGCUGGGCAUAGUGCUGAGUGUUUUGAGCAGGGUAUCAGCCGUCUGGAGAGGCAAUGAGGCCAGAAUGGUAAAACCACACCCUAGAGAUUACCAGGUCGUAAAUGGCGCUGGGGAACAUCUCUCAUAGUGGGGUUCUUCGAUUGUAUGCUUGCCCAUGCCAGGGACUUUGAGCUACUCAGAUACCUGACCAUGUGUGGGUGAGGACACUGAGACAAGAAGAUGAAGUGACUGGACCCAUGUCACCGAGCCAGGGAGUAGCAAAGAUAGGACUUGAUUAGCAGCAGGUCCAAUUCAAAGCCCUGCCUUGGUGUUAAGUGUUAGAAGCAACUACAAAUCCAUGAGACAUUCUAGACUCUACAAAGGCUUCUUUCAGUGGGUUGGGUGCUACACAGAGCUGGACAGUUUUGAGGCCCUGAACUGGGUUUUGUAAAUAUGGAGUCUCCAUGACUGUAAGGUGAGGGUGGGACGAAAGGAAUCACUGCGUAUUUGUGGUCAGGCAUAGGCAAUUUGUUAUGUGUCCUUGCCUGAGCCCUCCCAGGAGGAUAAUCCAACUGGUACCUGGGAGAGUUUUCAGGUUUAGAGGGUGUCCAGGAAGAUACAGAGGUCCCAUCCAAAUAUGGUGAUUCUGGCAGAAGUUAAUAUGCCAAAGUAGCCUUCAGGUCAGAAGAAUGUCAAAUGUCCCAGGGCCCUGCCACUCACUGGCAUUGGUCCCUUGGCUUGCCACAUGGAUGUGGUAGCUGUGUCGGGAGAGGAGUGCAAGGAAACACCGACUUGCCUCACAGGGUGGAGAAGAGAGAGGAAAGAUACUGUUUCCUUAGCUAAUGGAUGGGGAAACCAAAGUCUGGGGCAGAAAAGUGACUUGCCAGAGUUACUUCAUAGGAGGAAUAAAUGACACAGUUGGCCAGACUGUAGUCUAGCUAGCUCUCACCUCUGUCUUCCUCUUUGCACUGAGAAAGUGGGCGGGGCCAGGAGGAGAAGAAAGCUCUCUUUCAAGGCCACCUCCUGCUCUGUACUUGGGUGCUAGGUUGUCUGAGAAGCUGUGACUUGGAGCGGGCCUUCCCUCCACCCUUGUCCUUCUUGGUUAGCGUUGAGUCCUCAGUUGGGAUUUUAUUUUUGUAAAUAGAGCCUGGCAGCUUAUCACACAGGCACUGCCUGCUGUCUACGAUACAGGCAUAUGCCCAUCAUACAGGAGUACUCAAAGGGGCUUUUGGGAUCUUGGGUUAGCUCUGCAUGUGGAGGUCUUGUGCCCAAGCCCAGACCCUGGCCCUGGACACAGGUAGGCUUGAUUGUUUCUUACCUAAACCACGUUUUUGGCCAGGGCUCCAUCACUCAGUCUCAUUCUCCCCUAUGAAAGAAGCUGUAGAACGUCUCUAGGUCUCCAGCCGUGCAAGGUAGACCCUGGGAUAGCUUGGUAUGGGCUCUGAGAAAGCAGAAUGGAGAUUCCUGAUGGGGCAGCACUGUGAAGAUACAAGAGAACUCCCAAAUUGGGGAAGGCAUUCAUUUAUUGUCCUCAGAACUGGGUCGCUGUGGGUUGAACAAAUUGAAAAGGUUGGGAGUUAGUAAACAUAGAUCCUUUCUUCCUCCUUGACUGAGACUCCCUUUUGACUGGCUUAUAGAGUGAGCAGGACUAGGCAGACCUGUCCCUUGGAGCUCCCAGUUAGGUAGUGACAGUAUGCCUGGUAAGCAAGCUAAUCUGGGGCAGGUCCUUGUGGAUCCUAGUGGACUCUGGCAGACCAACUGAUGAAAUGUUUUUGUUCAUACAUCUGUCCAUCUUUGUUUUCUCUAGCUUCUAAUUCCUUUCCCCCCUUGCCCUAAGCUUACCGUCACCAUAGGAGCACUUGAAGCACUUCUAAGGGAGUCUUAGAAGCUGAGGGGUUGAGCUGAAGACGGGAGAGCCUGUAGAGAAGCCCCUGGUCUGAAGGCAGGUCUGCCUAGGCAAGAUGGGGUAGGGUGUGAAAGGAGCUGAGGGGCCAGAGAAAACAAAAAUGGAAGGUUGCCUGACUGGAACUGCUUUAAUCCUACAGGGGCCCAGGGAGCAAGGAAACAGUGUGACACAUCAUUUACCCAUUAAGGUGAUGGUUCUUGGGUGCUGGUAAGAGACAGCAGGCAGUGCAGACCUAUUCCGGCAGAGAGGUAGCACACAGAAAGGGGACAGACUAGAGAGGAUAGCAGGCAGAGUGGGCAGGAGGGCUCCCCAUCCUAAAGUCACAGCAUCAUACUUUGAAGGAGGGGCUAGGAGAUAGGCAUUCAAAGGGUGCAUAGUGGUCAGUGAUGUCCUGGAAACUAGGGCUCAUGCGAAAUUCCAAGUUUUCAGUUUCCUUUAAGUGGAAAAAUCAGACAACAGUACUGUUAGGCGACAUUCAACACAAGGGACUUUGAAAUUGCCUCCUCCUCGCCUGUGCUUUGAGGGCUCUUCCCCCUCCCACAGCAUGCUCUUAGAUCCUGGGCAUUUUCUGAGUGUCUCUUCUUGUCAAUUUGGUUCCUGAGGCCCCUGCAGAAGGUCUUCCCUGUGCAGGCACAGUGGCCGGGGAGCCUGUGGUAAGAACCCACCUGUCAGGAGGACAUGGGGAGGAGUGGGCCUUAGAAGUCAGUGGGACCAUGGUACUGGGUUACCUGGCCCCCUUUGAAGUCAGAUCAUGUUGCUGGUGGCCUUGGUAAGAAGCUUCCCAACCGGUUUCAUGCCUUUAGUGGCUGCUGCUUGAACCUGGUCUUUGCUUUCAAUUGGCUACACUGUUGGCGUGUGCCAGCCUGGCUGUGCCUUCGCCUGCCGGGUAGCUUAGCAGUAGCCCUGACCUGAGGUGAUCUGGCUCUAUGGAGUCAAGGCCCCUCAGGCCUGCUCUUUGCUUGGAAAUCCUGGUUGGCUGGGGCAUCUUGGCAGCAAUAACAUUGUUGCCUGUAGGUCCUGUUUACCUGAAUGUGGCUGGGAGGCCCCUGAGUGACCUGGAAACCCUGACUAGCUUUCAAGAGGCCCUGCCUGUGCAUCAGGGUUUCAGCUAGUAAGUCUGCCUCUGGGUCUUAGGACCUGAGGGACUUGGUAUGUGGAAUAUAAGGAACUGGGAAGUAAGCCAGUUUGAAAAGGAACCACGGAGAAGUGUGAGCAAGGGAGAGACACUGGUGAGAGACCUGGAGCUCAGGUAUGGUGAGAGGGCACAUAGGCCAGCUACGCUUUAUCUGCCUCUCCUGGCUAGUGCUUUGAAUUGUGGGGACAUUAGAUUUGCCCCAGGUCCUAGUGAUAUUCUGGGCCUGCUGGCUCUCCAAAGAUCAGACUGCAUUUUUGUAGGCUUGAAGCUCCCAACCUGUACCUAGUGUGAUGAGGGUUGUGGUUGCAAACUUGUGGUCUAUUUGCUUUGAGUUGAUUGGCACCCGGGGCUUAGAAGAAAAAGCUCUUGAAUAUAGACCUGAAACUGCUUUUACCCCGUUUUGCUCAGUUGACUGGCAGCCCUCAGCUCUGUAGCCACCUUGUUUCAGGGGUGUGCAGAAGGAGCGCUGCCGAGAGGGAAUGACUCUCCGCUGGUCCACCCCAGCCUGCUGGUCACUGCCUCUGAUUUCAACAAGGGACUUAAACCCCAGCCUCUUCACCUCCCUAAUGACAGGACUGCAGUUGGAGGAUGUAGUAAUGGUGCUUGUUGGAGUGCCAGCCUGGCUCCUGGUCCAUAGUGGGAACACUGUGUUAUACUGUGUAUUCCCUCUGGGCCAAGUGGUUUGCUCUUAGUGUCUGCGAUUCCCCUGGGGGUCCAGACCACUGUGGUGCUGAUGAGAAAGGGUACCUGCUGCUCAGGCUUGCUCUUUUGCCUUUAGCAAGUAUGGGAGAGAGUAAGGAGUACCCUGGUGUCUGACCUGAGAGGUUUGCUGCUGGGGCCACAUACCUUCUCUUCCCUAUUGGCUUAGUCCUGCUCUGCUGAAACUCUCUGCUCAGGUUCCCUGGCAGACAAGCAGACAGCCCCUUACAGAGGUGCAGGCACUGGUGUAUAAGUCUCCUGGUAGGGACAGAUGAGAGAACCCAAGGUCUUUCAGUGGUCCACAUCCUGCCCCUUGUUUUUCUGGUUACUCUGCUUUCUCUCAACCCCCUUACCCAGCUUUUUCAGGUGGAACUACUGCUCAGCCCAAUGACCAUUUCUAGGAAGUCCCCCACCCCCAGUCCUGUGGCCUUGUUACCUGCUGUAGCCCUUCAUUUCAAAGUAUUAUAGUCCCUAUUAGUUGUAUCCAGCUCCUUCCCAGACUAUGGCUCUUCAAGGCUAAAAAGUAUCCAAUGCAUCUUAGCCCUUGGACUUCCUGCUGUGUGUUGGCAUUGCCCCAGCCUGGGACUUCUCUCUCCUGGCUCUGAACCAAUGUGGUUGUUGGUGUUGACUAUGUGGUGGCUACUGCCAGCUGUUAAGUCCAAUCCCACCCUCCACCCAGUGCCUGAAGUAUCAGUCUGUGCCAGGAGGAACCCUUAUCCAUGUACUAGGCAGCUGGGUACCACUGUGGACUUAAAGACUGCAAUUGAGAGGCAGCCAAGGGCCCACUAGCUGAGUUGAGUGUAUCACUUGCAGAUGAUAUCAAUGUCUGCACAGGGUUGGGAGGAAGAGUGAACUCAGGCACUACCAUUGGAUCUUGCAGCUGUUGAAUUGCUUUGGACUAUAGCCAGGGGCUUUAUCUCUGUAGACUGUUUCUUCUUCUAAUGGGUACUCACUUGAGGCAGCAGCAGAUCAAGAAGGGCAAGAUCAAGGUUACCUGCUCAGCAUACAACCAGGCCCAGGCAGCUACCAUAGACUAAACCACCUGCCAAGACGAAGUAUACAACCUGGUGUCAGGAGAACAGAGGCCGUACCCUGUUCGCAUGUGAAGUGCUCUCUUCUCCCACCGCUUCUUGGUUGCAGGGCUGGUCUCUGCAGAUGUGUGCAGGCGCACCUGUGCCUUCUACUUUCCUGGUGUUCUGUGACAGUUUUCUGGUCACCUUAUAUGUGUGGGUCCGUGGAACUAUGGGAUCCCCCUGUCUUGACCUCUCCUAGUCAGCGCUGGACAGGCCUUGAGGAAGUGAUGCAGAUUUGGAGUGGGUAGGUAGAGCUCGGUUGUGGGAGAAGAGCAGGAAAGAACCAUUGGUUUGGGAGGGUCUUAGAGAGGGGAAGUGCUUGGGGGAUGGACCUUACAAUGUGCUGAGAAACCUAGGGUGGGUUUGCAUCAGUCAGACUUGGAUUUUACUUAAACUUAGUUUACUACUAUUUUUACGCAUAUGAGUAUUUUGCCUUCAUGUAAAUCAGUACACUGAAGUGGAAACUUAAGGGUUCUUUGGAAAGUUAGUUGUAUCAGGUGGUGCUUUGCUGGGGCAAAUGUGUGAGUGUUCAGCUGAGGAGGACACAGGUGAAAGGCUAAGGCAGACACUCAAAGGAACAUUUCGUUGAGGCAGACACAGGAGAAAGGAUGUUCUGCUAAAGCAAGCACAUGAAAGGACAUGCAAUGAAGGAUUCUUUGCUAACAACACGCAUGUAUCGGUCCUCUUUACAAUGUAUAGUUGAGCUGCAUUCGUCAGGACUCCAUAGAGAGAAAUGCACCAAAAAAUUUGUGGUGGUGUGCUGCAAAGUGUCUUGCCCCUUCCAUGGACCCAGGCUGAUAGGCAGAGUGAUGUCUGCUGAGACAGACACACAUGCUGAGGCAAGAACGGUGGAGGACACGUGAUGUUUGGAGGGAUAUAAAUAGGACUCGACAGACAAUGGCUGUGGCUGAGCUAGGCUUGGUUAUAGAGCUAACUGUGCAACGCUUAUUGAUCUCGCGUCUUCACUCAUCUUUGCUUUGCUGGGAGGCAUAGCUAAGAACUUCUCCUGGCAUCCCCCUGGAGCCCUUCUGCUGACUUGUUCCGAGGCUGAGGCCUGGCUGUCUCUGCUAGUGCCACUGUUACUGGUUCAUGUCUACUAUCCUGACUCUACCGAACUAGACUGUGGUGAAUCUGUGAGGUAUUUGCUAGUAGAUUGAGCUGGUACUGUGGACCUGUGAGCUGAACUGCCGAUAUCCAGACAACACAGAUGGGAGUUGCUCCAAAGAACCAUUUUUUUUUUUUUUUCGGAGCUGGGGACCGAACCCAGGGCCUUGCGCUUCCUAGGCAAGCGCUCUGCCACUGAGCCAAAUCCUCAACCCCCAAAGAACCAUUUGUAAAUAGGUCCAUGUCCCCCAUAUCCUUUCUUUUCCACUACCUCUGGUAGGUGGUGGGCUAAAAGGGAGGUUAAAGCAUUUAAGAACCAAAAUUAAAAGUAGGAGUUGAAAAAUUGAAGUUACAGUACACAAUGUGUAUACAGUGCCCACGUAGACCAAAAAAGGGUGUCAGAUCCCCUGAAACUGUAGUUACAGAUGGUUGUUAGUCUCCACAUGGAUCCUGGGAAUUGAACUCUGGUCCUUUGGAAGAACACCCAAUGCUCUUAACUGUUGAGCCAUUUUUCUAGCCCUCAGACUUGUACUUUAGAACUACUAAAAGUAGCACUGGGGUAGACUGCUUAGGGCUGCCAGUUAUAGGAGGGCAUUUGUGUUAGGCCAAGAAGGGUAUCUUCCCAGCCACUGACAUGGACCUUCUGGAGACAUUCUGCAACAGGUAAAGUAAAUUGUGCUAUAGACAAAAGGUCCAAGAUAGAUGUGGUGGUUUGACUAUGCCUGAAUCAGGGUGUGGCCUUGUUGGAGAGAGUGUGUCAUUGUGGGGAUGGAAAGUAAGACCCUCUUCCUAACCACAAGAGAGCUAGUCUUCUGCUAGCAGCCUUCAGAUGAAAGUGUAGAACCCUCAGGUCCUCCAGCACCAUGCCUGCCUGGAUGCUGCCAUGUUCCCAGGGACUGGAUCUCUGAAACUGUAAGCCAGCCCUGAUUAAAUGUUGUUAUAAGAGUUGCCUUGGUCAUGAUGUCUGUUCACAACAAUAAAACCCUAAUGGUUCAUGGUAACACUUAUGUAGAGUUCUAGACAAGAAGAGUUAAGAAAAGAUGGUUAUAUUUGUAGGAGUUGGGCCACGUAUGUAAGGGCCUUUUAGGCCUGCAGAAUUCUGCUUGGGCUUAGUUACACAAUAUGUUUUUUCUUGAGGACUUGUAAAUUGCACACUUCUGCUGCAGAAACAGGCCUUGAGUUGUUCAUACCUCUGGGCUCUAGGUGGGCACCAAAGCUUUCAAGACAAACACGAGAGUGCCUGAAGUUGAUCUUUGGGGCUUUUCCUGGGUCUUUCUGGUGAGCCAGCCUGAGCCAUUCCAACCCGAUGAGCAUUGCUCUUGUUUACGAGGCAGUGGUUCAUCUUGGCAAUUGCAGGCAGUCUUGGUCUGGGGAUUUUCCUUCUAUCAGUUACAACCUCAGCUGAGUAGGGCUUUCUGGGCUUUGGAUGGAGUUUAGCCGUUUGAAAGCUUUGUGGGCUCCUGAGGUUACCACCAGACCACUGGAUGUCAGAUCAUUGCCUGUGAUGGGAUAAUGAAUUCUUCAUGGUACCUGGAUGCCAUGCUGAACCUGCUAUUUACCCAUGAUAGCCUAUAGCUCAGAGCACAUGCUCAGUAAAAGCUGGCCUGGCUAGUCUCCAUCCAGAGCAGUAGCUGGAGGGGACCUGGAGCUGGAAGCAUAAAAGGAACGGUUCCUAUUUCUUCCUUUCUCCCUUCAGUUGCUGUUCUCUCUUCCUGACGCUCUCCUAUUGAAACACGUGUAAUUAGAACUGAGCCACUCACUGCCCUGGCCUUGAUACUUGUGGUCUCUCCCUGAGACCUGUAAGCAGGCAGAGACCAUUACACAGACACAGACACAUACACAGAUACGUACACAGACGUGCAGAGCAUACAGGGGAUGGGGUUUUGCUACUAAUUACACCAACUCCAAAACCUCACCUUUUCUUUUUCUGGUUUUGCUUGCUUGCUUGCUUUUCUUUUUUACUUUUUCUUUUCUUUUCCUUUUUGAGAAAGGGUUUCUUUCUGUAGCCUUAGCUAUCCCAGAACUCUGUAUGUAGACUAGGCUGACCUCAAACUCACAGAGAUCCACCUGCCUCUGCCUCCCAGUGCUGGAAUCAAAGGUGUUGUGCCACCAAGUUCCUUCACCUUUUGUUGUUGGCUUUGAGUCAAGGUCUCACUAUGUAGUCCUGAUGCCUAGAACUCCCUAUAUAGACCAGGCUGGCCUGGAUCUCACAAAGAUCUGUCUGCCUCUGUCUCUUAAGAGCUGGGAUAAGUGAUUUGCACCAUUACACCUGGCUCUAAACCCUGCCUUUGGGAUGAACCUUUGACUGGUGUGCCCCACUAAGUGCCUUUGCCAAAGGGAUAAUGGAAAAAUCGGACUGUGUUGUGAUGCUGACCCUGCCCAUAUUGGAUGUAGGCAAGACAGCCUUUCUCUUUGGGCAGCAGUGGGGUGAAAUGUUUGGGGCUUUGGGUUACAGAAGGCAUCCUCUGUAGCAGCCAUUAUCACAGACCUAUCACAUGACGAUGUUGAACAAAAAGGCCCAAGGCAAGGUCCACGAUGGCACUUGAGUAGAAUUGAAAGGCAUUGUGGUUCAAGAGGGAUGAGAUUAUCCUUAUGUGGGGCCUGUGUCUGAACAGGGCCCACUCAGCCGGACUCCUUGUAAGUGCUCAGUAGAUAUGCGUGGUUACUAGCAGUGGCAAUGGUUGGCCCAGGAUUGGUCCUGAGUCUGCAGAGUUUCAGGUGUCUAUGGAGGAGGUGGAGCCCCAUGAGUCAGGGCCUCAUGGUGGUGUCUGACCCUGAGCCCUCUGUCCUGUGAUUGGAAUCUUGGGUAGCUGCUUAGCACAACUGGGCAAACCGGUCUGAGUCAGUGCCAGGCUGUGAAGAGAGGUGACUCUGGCUAAAUGACUCCUGAUUAUCUUGUCACCUUAAGUUUAAAGGGCCAUGGGGAAUCCUAUGUGCAGUAGGAACACCUGGGUAGCAGAUACAGUAACAAUGAUGGUCCCCGACUACACAGACUCUAGAGAACAAGGUGCAGCCACAUCUGGGAAGCCACUUCCUGGAAGUAGUAUGAGAAGGCUUGGUUUUACGGAAAUCGACUACAGAGAUCACUCAUUCAGUUGUUAGGUGUUCAGCACCAUCUUUGACGACAGGAGACAACUGUUAGUGUAAGGACACCCUGCCUCUACAUGGCUCUGGGAAACAAGGGCCUUGCUUGAUUCCAACCACACCUAUAAAUCCAGUCCUGUCUGCACAGAUAGGGAAGGCCCUUAGUGUGGGCCUGCGUGAAGGUGUCCCCAUGACUGCAGUCCAGUUGUUUCAGGAACAGGCCUCAGGGACAGGAAUCUCUCCUUCCUCUCCUUCCUCUUCGGGUGAAUCAAAUACCACCCGGGCCUGAGUCACUGGUGGCACAUUCCUGGCCACCUGCCACACCUCUGAGCAUGUCAGCUGAGCUUCAGCUCUGGGGAAAUGGCCAGAUCCAAGGUCCGGGGCAGGAAGAAGGCUGGGUCAGUGCUUUUGCAUGCGUCCAGGACCACCCGCCUCUGAGGCCCCUCUCUGCAGGUUUGUUUUUUUUUUUUUUUCUAUUUUUCGGAGCUGGGGACCGAACCCAAGGCCUUGCGAUUGCUAGGCAAGCGCUCUACCACUGAGCUAAAUCCCCAACCCUCUGCAGGUACUUUUAAAGGGCCAGGCCAUGUCUGCAGUUCAGCAGAGGUGCCUCUUGUGUUUAGUCCCGGCACUAGCAACUCCAUGAGCAAGAGAGUGACAGAGACCCGAAGAGCUCUAGAGUUCAUGGGUGGCAGAGACUUGCUUGGACCCAUCUUUGCUUCCCUAUGCCACUCAAGUGAGGCUGCUGGGUACAGGAAGGGAAGACUCCUGAGCAGAUCCAGUUCAACAGCUCUGUGUGCUAAUAAUAAAUAGCCUGGGUCUUAGAGAUGGAAAUUGGUACCACAUCCCAGUGUAACAUCCGUUGUGUCUCUGUUUUCCAGCCCUAAUGUGGAAAAAUGUAGUAUUGGGCAUGAGUUCAAAUCACAGACUUUGGGCAGGUGAAUUCUUGUGCCUUAUGUUCCUAGCCUGUAACAUAGGAGUGAUGGGAUGCGGAUUCCUUGACCAUCUCUCCCUUGGUAUGAACCCAGAUGUAAUACCAUCUCUUCCCUUGUGUGAAUACUCAUGGUAAAGGAUGAGGUCACAGGGCCUAGGGUUCUGACAUGACAGAGCCAUGCAGUCAUUGGGACCUGAGGAUGGUUCUCUUAUGCCAACAGGUUUCCUAAGGAUCCUGGGAAUGCAGAGUUGUAUCUAGGGGUACAGACUACCCCUCAAUUCUUGUACUCCCUCAAGUGCCUGGACUCCCUGAGAAUCUGUGAAGUACAAGUAUGAAGUGAGCAUGUGAACAGCACUUGGCACUCAGGAGGACACCCAGGAGACAGCACCUUACUGUAGAUCCCUUCCCUUAAGAGCAAGAUCCAGAACUAGGGCCCGAGGGUUCAGCCCAGUGGUAGAACUUUUGCCCAGCAUGCACACAGCUCUGGGUUUCAACCCUAGCACCAACGAAAAAAAGAAAAAGCCAGUGGCUCCUGGCACAUUUUAGACUCUGGUUUACGGGCAAUUGCCUGGGUGGUAACAUGAGCUGUCUGCAUGUCCUGACUGAGGAGCAGAAGGUAGAACAGGACAGCUACAUGCCUGCGACUGCAAACAAAGGAUACCAACACCUAACUGUCUUGGGUGUUUUCAAGGUCAGUCUCCAGGUUACAGGACUGAAGAGGGCCAGGAUUCAAACCCAGGUGUGUCUAAAUCUGAUGUCUCCUAAGCCAGCCAGCCAGCCCGAGUGCCCAGGCGAUAAUCUCACCCUUCUCUGUUGUGCAGUUUCUAAAGCUGUAUUUUCUAGAGCUGCAGUUUGCUCACACACGCCAAUGUCAGCAUGUACUCCCAGCCUUUCCGUCACCCCAAGCUGUUUCUUAGGGUUCUUGCCAGCAGGGGAGCAGAGAAGGCAGCAUGGGGCCCCAGGAGCUUCCUGAAGCUCUCUAGUGUUGGGCACCAAGUGGCUUGGCUUCUAGGAACUUCUUGCUGCCUCACUACAGGAGGAGGGGUGUGCCAGAACUGUAGGAACUGCUUCCCCUGCACGUGGUCCUCAGCUCCUAGCUGGAGCCAAACACUGUUGGGCUGCCACGUUGGCCCUCCUGGCCUGCAGCCCCUGGAUGGAUGCCUUGGCUAGUCCCUGGGGUGGGCCCCUCCCCAGGCAGCUGUGCUGUUCUCUUCGGGAAAGCACUGGCAGAUAUUGUCGAUUUAAAUUGUUUCCUUAUUAUACUCUCAUUUAGGGCUGGGGCUGCCUCUCAUCAGCCUAGACUCCAGAUUGUAUCACUAGGACCGCUUGUACAAGGAGCCAGGGAAAGCUUGGUAUUCAGGCUGUGCUGGGCAAAGCCAGGGAGGGGCAGGUGGACAGCAGGGGUGGGCACCAAGUGAUGGAACCUGUUCUGGCACCUGUGGGCAGAAUAGUCUGAGGACUAAGUCUCUCAGGACUCAGGAAUACAUGGGACCGGGAGGUUCCUGGAGUCCCUAUAAAUGUCUGUACCAGAGGUACCUGAAAGAUGGAUUGAAGAGUGGUUGCCAAGGCCCCUGACAGAGCAUCUCAACUGGAACUGAUUGGGUUAAGUCCCAAAACAGCUUGUCACAUCUGGAGUUGUUCUACUCUGUUGAUAGGGUGCAGCUCAAUGUGCACAGUGCACAGGACAGCUCUCACAAAGGAAAUCCCUGUCCUGCAGAGCCCGGGGUCCUGGCAGAACUGCUGGUGGUCUUAUUGGUAGCAGGCUAGUAGACGUGUGUGCUCACUUGUGUCUGGAAAUGCCUGUCGUGCUGGGCCUCACCUUUCUCUGCUCAGAGGAUUUGAGUGCCUAACUCUGCCAGUCUAAUGCCCCUACUGAGUAUGCCGAUGAUGACAUAUACUGGUGUGUGUGUGUGUGUGUGUGUGUGUGUGUGUGUGUGUGUGUAUCAGAGGAAUAGAACUCAGGUUGCUAGGCUUGUGCACCAAGUGCCUUUUCCCGGUAAGCCUUUUAGCUGACACCUAGUACUCAAAGGGAAGUGUUUUAGGUGGCCUUAAGGUCACCCUAGAGCCUUUUCACAGGGACUGCGCUGCCAUAUUAUUCCCUGAGGCUCACUUUUCCCUGUUUUCUGCUCCUGUAGUAACUGCCAGUCCUGCUUGUACCUUAGUGCUAACUCUGGGUAGAGUCCCCUGGGCUUCUUGGUUCCUAGCAACCCAUGGCUGGGAGGGAGCUCCCAUGGCAGCUUGUCACCUCUGUGGUGGAGACCCAGGGCCACCAAGACUCUAGGACUCUUGCACCUUGUAAGCAGUGACGCUGCUAGGCACAGUAACUGUUGCAGGGAGCUCAUUCAUGGGGACCAUGAAGCCCAACUCUGGGGGACUCCGGUGGGAACAUUUCUGUCAGAGAAACUGUUGGAAGUAGCUCACUUCAGCCUGAACUGCAGCCCUCCCCACGCUCUGGAACCUCUUUAGUCUUGUUUGUUGUAGACCAGGCAGGCAGUAGAGUGGCCUUUCGUAUCUGAUUACCUUCCUCAUUUAUCUGGAAACUGAAAUGACAUAGUGAACUGGGGCUGCUGAAGGGAGACCUGGUGUUCUGUGACUUUGUUCCACCUUCCAGGACCUCAGUGUCUUUAUAUGUAAAACAGGGUGGUGUUCAUACAGGCCUCAGGGCCGAGAGUUCUUUCAGUCCUGUGUUUGAACCAUGAAUCCCACAGAAAGAGCUCAUGGUAUGGGUGAUGCUUUAAUGCACUAGAAGGGCCAGACAACGGAUUAGAGAUCCCAGUCUGCCAGCUCUGUCCUGAGCUUUUAGGGAGAGGCCAUGGUAACAGACAGAUGUGGCUCCCAUUAGCAUGUGGCUCUGUAGGCACAGGGUGGAUGGUCUUCUCUAUGUUCCACUUGAGCUGAGCAGUGAGAGAGGAGUCGCCAUGACAGCACGGUGCAGUGGGCAUGCCUUCCAGGCUUCCUUGUGUUGUUCUAUUGCUGGAGGCUUUUCUUUCAUCUUUACCUGGCUGACCUCAACUUGGCAGUGCUGGCUCUGGCAUCAGUGCCCCAGACAUCUGUCCUACUAGGUAGAGUGUUCUCGCAACCCGCCUUCAGAGAUCCUGGCAGCUGCCAGUUAAUUCUUGUGUAACAUCUUUCCCACUUUGCUUCAGGACACCUCGGGAGGCUCCCUCCACGCUUGGAGCCUGAGCUGGCGCCUGCAGCCAUUCUCCAUGGAUACCUCCUCACAGAGGUCUGCUUGACAGUUGGGUAUAGGUCCAAGAGUCUUGCUAAACCAGUCUGCAUGGCUGCAUGGGGUAGGCAGAGCCAGUCAGGGAGACACAUACUGGGAGACUCCUCUUAGAUCUAGAAAAGACCCAGAAGGUCUGAAGCGUCUGAGCCCACUGUUUUGUGAGGCACUUACUCUAUUUUAGGACAGUUCAAAAAUAACUACAUUCUGGCCACAGAGGCCACAGUGGGUAAAGGGCUUGCCCUGUUUCACUGAGAUUUGCACGUCUAAUUGUAUAUCUUAAAGCUAAAAGCAAAACCUGUCUCUUUAAUUACCUGUCCCUGGCAGUGACAACAGGGAUGCACACCCUAAAACCCCAAGCUGGGAGAGCUGACUGCCAGCCUUCCAGCCCUGAUAGCGGUUGCCCACAUCACUCGGUUUGUCCCCACUUGGCAGUGCCAAGGGGAAGGGUGGACCCUGACCUUGAGUCAGAUACUCAAAUCCCUUUGCUUGUAACCACCCAUCCUAACUUCAUUCCCUUUCCUUUAAAGUUAAAAUGUUAAUUAGGAGAACUACUCUUAGACAAAAACAACACCUCACUGCAGUUUGUCAGGCUUGACUUUGAGCUAUCCCCUUCCUUCUGGCCAGUGUCCCUUCAUAUCAGUACAAAUAGGCCAGGUGUCCAGUGAGCUGCCAGUUCAGGGUUCUGGUCUUCUUAGGGCUGGGAUGAUCUCUUUGAGGCUUGAUUUUUGCCAGAUGACUUGUCCCCAGCUUAAAAAAAAAAAGACCUUUCCUGGCCACCUUUCCCUCACAUCUGGGGGAUGUGACUGACCCCUGCCCACCUCCUCUCAUUUCCUUUUUACCACCUAGGACAUGCACUGCCUAGACUGAACAUGCUUCUUACCUACUGCCAGAGUAGUGGCCCCUCAAGAGCAGGGAUUUCUGUCUGUUUCGUGUACUUAGUACUCAUUUCUCCAUCCAGAAUUUUACAAGUGCCUAGCACACUGAGGACUUGAAGUGAAUCCACUCUGGUAAUUCCUAAACCCAACCUGGCCGGCUCUUGCACCAGGGCUACCGUUUUGACAACCUCAGUCCUGCCUCUAGGUCUGAGUUCUUGUCUAUCUCAGCUUUGCUCUGUCUGGAACCUCACUGUUCCUUGACAGGGGCUGGUGUGGUGAAACAGCUCAUCCUGAAGGCCCUAGGCCUUGGCCUCUCUAGAACUUGGGUGCUUUGCAGCAUUCCUAACCUUCAUGGAAGCAGCCACCUUGUGUUGAAGACUUGUGGGGUGAGGAUAUGGCAGGUGCUCAGAAGUGACCACUUGUCUAACGUUUAUUACACCCUUACUGAGGGCCUGGGGUCAGAGCUGGUAGGGCUGCCUGCUGUGCUUCUCCUCAAAGGUGGGGACAUGUAAUACUGAUUGUUCAGAGCCUUUAGGCAUCAGGAGGGUGGCCAGGUCUAAUGCCAGAAACCCUGCCCUGCUCAACUUCCUGUCACCUGAGAGCCUGGGAAGGAAGGCUUCACGUGAUUUGCUCUCCCUGGCACAGCUGGCAGGGUGGGCAGGGCUGACCGGAACCAUAUUUGAGCCUCGGGCUUCUUAGCUGGUAUACCCAAGACAGACCCAAAGGAGGGCGGGCAGUCUGCUACAGCCUUUGUUCCCAGACUCUAACCCUAAUUCUCUGGGUGUUUCAAGUGUCUCAACCUUCCUGCUUCUGCAGGUCUCAAGCAUCUGCUCCUACUCCUAGAGGUGUGUGUGUGUGUAUGUGUGUGUGUGUGUGUGUGUGUGUGUGUGUGUGUGUGUGGUGUGUGUGUGUGUGUGUGUGUGUGGUGUGUGUGUGUGUGUGGUGUGUGUUUGUGUGUUGGGGGGAGCUUUGGGUUCAUACAGAGUGGUUCCCAGUCCUCUUUUAUGCACAGGCCUCAGUUGCUCAAGAGUGACUCCUCUGCCCUUCCACUCUGCCUAUGUGCCUGCUCUCUGCUUCCAGCACAUCCACGGGGCAAGGCAGCCAUGAGCAGACAGACAUCUGAUUACCCGCCCCUUACUGAUGCCGUCUGCUCUCCCCACUGCACAUCCUUGUUGUUUCUGUUUACCAGGCAUAUUCUCAUGAGGGGCCUUUGCGGGUCACCCUUACCUCUCUCCACUCUGAGCUUUACUGAGGGAUCUGUCACUGCUCUAAGGCUCGUUGCUAGACACCUACCUCAAGUAGCAGCUCUACCUAAUCUCUCGCCCAACUCUCACCUUCCCUGCCCUGCCUUUCAUGUUUCUGUUUAUCAGAUGUUCCGUGCAUCUCGUGUUCUGUGCAUUCCACCUGCCGGAGGCGUGUAGUUCAGUUUGGGUUCUGUUUGUUUUGUGUUUUGGUGCUCAGUAUGGGACCCAGGGCCUUGCACGUGAUCAGCAAGUGUUCUGUCCCACAGACCGGUGCGUUUUCAGGUUCACGUGGCUGUGCACUUCUCACUGCAGUCAUCUGCAGACCAUUUUCAUUACUGCAUCAAGAGACCCACAUAUCACCUGCCACUCUUAAUUUCCCCAACUCCUGCCCCCUGGCAGCCACUAGUCUGCUUUCUGCAAUGUGUUCAAGGUUAGCAGCACUCUUGGGCGGCCAACUCAAGGUUAGUAUUAAGUGCCUCCUUUCAUUACUAAAGGGCACUGCACCUCAGGAGCAGGCCACAAGUAUUUUUACCCUCACCAUUGGGGUGUUUGGGUUUCUUUUGCUUUUUAACUAUUGUGCAUAGUACUGCUUGGCACAUCGAUGUGCAGGUUUUGGUGUGCGUGUAGAUUCUAUUUUUGUUGGGUGUGGACCUGGGAGUAGAAUUACUAGGUCAUAUGGUAAUAUGGAACUGCUGGCCUCACAAGCCCAAUAGGACUUCAGCUGCCAGGUUUUCCUGCUUUUUGUGCUCCUGAGCCAGUGUGGCAGCCUGGGGCUCUCACUCCGCUAGGCAGCCUGGAUAGCAGCCUGCUUUGUGAGUCUUCGCCUCAGAAUCCUGAUGGAUUCCACUGAGGUUGUGAAGCAGGCGAUGCCUGACUGCAGCCCUCUCUGACCCUCACCCCAAAGCAUAAAUCUGGCAGGUAACCCAUGUUUCUUAGGUCCCUUGGGGUGUAGGAAGGUCAUGUCUCAGCCGUCUGUGUGACUAUCCAUCCAGGUAGUAGGGUGCACUGGAUGGGGAUGCUGUCACACACUCCCUCCUUCCCAUGCCUGCCCCUUCCUGACCACCUGUUCUGCAGGGGUCGGGUGGGCGGGGACUAUGCGCUGCUGUCACUCUUGCUGAGCCCCACUCCAUAACUGGAUGGAGUUUAGAUGAGCUGCUUUCAGAGUUCCCAUCACCUAACAGCCACCUCAUUUAGAAGUGCUGGGUUGGUAAUGUGGUCUCACCCAGGGCAGGAAGGUUGGAAUCUCACCUGGAAUCAAAGAAUCUCCACUUUUCCGCAGAGUGGCUGGCUGGCAGGCUUCCUCCAGCACUGUGAACAGGCUGUGGUGACUACCAACUUGGGAAGCAGCAUGUAGCAUUAGCUGUUGUGGUUAUUGUCAUUAGAGGAACCUGGUUUAACCCAGCUGUGGGCCCAGUAGACUGGUGGGAGGUCUGGGGAGCUGGCCUAGCCUAGCCUCUUACCUGUACAGUGAGUUGAGUAAGUCUGUCCGCGGAAGACUGAUGUGAAGAUCACAUGAAGUGGGAGUAUCUGGACAGCCAAGGUCAAGGAGCGGCAACAGAGGCCCAGCAUGUCAGC